UACGUAGGGGGAAGCGUUAUCCGGAUUUACUGGGUGUAAAGGGAGCGCAGGCGGCAUGGCAAGUCAGAUGUGAAAACCCGGGGCCCAACCCCGGGCCUGCAUUUGAAACUGUCAGGCUAGAGUGUGGGAGAGGCAGGCGGAAUUCCUAGUGUAGCGGUGAAAUGCGUAGAUAUUAGGAGGAACACCGGUGGCGAAGGCGGCCUGCUGGACCAAGACUGACGCUGAGGCUCGAAAGCGUGGGGAGCAAACA
RNAcentral lists this ribosomal RNA (250 nucleotides) under uncultured prokaryote. RNAcentral describes it as "partial 16S ribosomal RNA". It matches the Rfam family "Bacterial small subunit ribosomal RNA", at positions 524 to 774 of the family's 1533-position model. The record is from RNAcentral.